CAAUGAGCUGCGAUGCCGUGAGGUGGAGCGAAUCUCAAAAAGCCGGUCUCAGUUCGGAUUGGGGUCUGCAACUCGACCCCAUGAAGUCGGAGUUGCUAGUAAUCGCAGAUCAGCACUGCUGCGGUGAAUACGUUCCCGGGCCUUGUACACACCGCCCGUCACGUCACGAAAGUCGGUAACACCCGAAGCCGGUGGCCCAACCCCCUUGUGGGGAGGGAGCUGUCGAAGGUGGGACUGGCGAUUGGGACGAAGUCGUAACAAGGUAGCCGUACCGGAAGGUGCGGCUGGAUCACCUCCUUU
RNAcentral lists this non-coding RNA (300 nucleotides) under Streptomyces sp. AVP053U2. RNAcentral describes it as "Bacterial small subunit ribosomal RNA". It matches the Rfam family "Bacterial small subunit ribosomal RNA", at positions 1240 to 1533 of the family's 1533-position model. Lineage: Bacteria; Bacillati; Actinomycetota; Actinomycetes; Kitasatosporales; Streptomycetaceae. The record is from Rfam by way of RNAcentral.